This is a long non-coding RNA of Zingiber officinale, 242 nucleotides long. RefSeq lists it as uncharacterized. The record is from RefSeq and is a predicted model, not a curated record. The transcript has 2 exons. Lineage: Eukaryota; Viridiplantae; Streptophyta; Magnoliopsida; Zingiberales; Zingiberaceae.
GUCAACAGCAACACACUACGACCGGGAAUCAAGAAACUACAGGCUGUGAAUUGAGGUUGAUGCUGUCAGGAGGGAGUUCUUGUCGCUAGUCCUCACAGCACGUAAUGCUAGAUCUCUGCAGACCUCGAUGGUUUAUAUAUCGUUUAGUUUUGUUUUGCAUUUAUUGAUUAUGUGUGGACUUGGUUUGUUUGGAUACUUGGUUGUUGUAUGGAUUUUUGUGACGAUGAUGGAUUUUUAUUCGA